AACGAACGCUGGCGGCAGGCUUAACACAUGCAAGUCGAACGCACCUUUCGGGGUGAGUGGCAGACGGGUGAGUAACGCGUGGGAAUCUACCCUUCUCUACGGGAUAGCUCCGGGAAACUGGAAUUAAUACCGUAUACGUCCUGAGGGAGAAAGAUUUAUCGGGGAAGGAUGAGCCCGCGUUGGAUUAGCUAGUUGGUGGGGUAAAGGCCUACCAAGGCGACGAUCCAUAGCUGGUCUAAGAGGAUGAUCAGCCACAUUGGGACUGAGACGCGGCCCAAACUCCUACGGGAGGCAGCAGUGGGGAAUAUUGGACAAUGGGCGCAAGCCUGAUCCAGCCAUGCCGCGUGAGUGAUGAAGGCCCUAGGGUUGUAAAGCUCUUUCAGUGGGGACGAUAAUGACGGUACCCACAGAAGAAGCCCCGGCUAACUUCGUG
This 433-nucleotide ribosomal RNA is filed under the name uncultured bacterium. Its description in RNAcentral is "partial 16S ribosomal RNA". It matches the Rfam family "Bacterial small subunit ribosomal RNA", at positions 29 to 507 of the family's 1533-position model. The record is from RNAcentral.